ACGCUAGCUACAGGCUUAACACAUGCAAGUCGAGGGGCAUCAGGAAGAAAGCUUGCUUUCUUUGCCGGCGACCGGCGCACGGGUGAGUAACACGUAUCCAACCUGCCCUUUACUCGGGGAUAGCCUUUCGAAAGAAAGAUUAAUACCCGAUAGUAUAAUGAUUCCGCAUGGUUUCAUUAUUAAAGGGUUCCGGUAAAGGAUGGGGAUGCGUUCCAUCAGGUUGUUGGUGAGGUAACGGCCCACCAAGCCUUCGAUGGAUAGGGGUUCUGAGAGGAAGGUCCCCCACAUUGGAACUGAGACACGGUCCAAACUCCUACGGGAGGCAGCAGUGAGGAAUAUUGGUCAAUGGGCGCUAGCCUGAACCAGCCAAGUAGCGUGAAGGAUGAAGGCUCUAUGGGUCGUAAACUUCUUUUAUAUAAGAAUAAAGUGCAGUAUGUAUACUGUUUUGUAUGUAUUAUAUGAAUAAGGAUCGGCUAACUCCGUGCCAGCAGCCGCGGUAAUACGGAGGAUCCGAGCGUUAUCCGGAUUUAUUGGGUUUAAAGGGAGCGUAGGUGGACUGGUAAGUCAGUUGUGAAAGUUUGCGGCUCAACCGUAAAAUUGCAGUUGAUACUGUCAGUCUUGAGUACAGUAGAGGUGGGCGGAAUUCGUGGUGUAGCGGUGAAAUGCUUAGAUAUCACGAAGAACUCCGAUUGCGAAGGCAGCUCACUGGACUGCAACUGACACUGAUGCUCGAAAGUGUGGGUAUCAAACAGGAUUAGAUACCCUGGUAGUCCACACAGUAAACGAUGAAUACUCGCUGUUUGCGAUAUACAGUAAGCGGCCAAGCGAAAGCAUUAAGUAUUCCACCUGGGGAGUACGCCGGCAACGGUGAAACUCAAAGGAAUUGACGGGGGCCCGCACAAGCGGAGGAACAUGCGGUUUAAUUCGAUGAUACGCGAGGAACCUUACCCGGGCUUAAAUUGCAGUGGAAUGAUGUGGAAACAUGUCAGUGAGCAAUCACCGCUGUGAAGGUGCUGCAUGGUUGUCGUCAGCUCGUGCCGUGAGGUGUCGGCUUAAGUGCCAUAACGAGCGCAACCCUUAUCUUCAGUUACUAACAGGUCAUGCUGAGGACUCUGGAGAGACUGCCGUCGUAAGAUGUGAGGAAGGUGGGGAUGACGUCAAAUCAGCACGGCCCUUACGUCCGGGGCUACACACGUGUUACAAUGGGGGGUACAGAAGGCAGCUAGCGGGUGACCGUAUGCUAAUCCCAAAAGCCUCUCUCAGUUCGGAUCGAAGUCUGCAACCCGACUUCGUGAAGCUGGAUUCGCUAGUAAUCGCGCAUCAGCCACGGCGCGGUGAAUACGUUCCCGGGCCUUGUACACACCGCCCGUCAAGCCAUGGGAGCCGGGGGUACCUGAAGUACGUAACCGCAAGGAUCGUCCUAGGGUAAAACUGGUGACUGGGGCU
Molecule: ribosomal RNA, 1446 nt
Filed under: uncultured organism
Description: SSU rRNA
Rfam family: Bacterial small subunit ribosomal RNA
Source: RNAcentral